GAGAGGGCCACCCCCCAAAAAAACCCUUUCCGAAAGGGGGACCUGCGGAAGGAUCAUUACCGAGUGAGGGCCCUCUGGGUCCAACCUCCCACCCGUGUCUAUCGUACCUUGUUGCUUCGGCGGGCCCGCCGUUUCGACGGCCGCCGGGGAGGCCUUGCGCCCCCGGGCCCGCGCCCGCCGAAGACCCCAACAUGAACGCUGUUCUGAAAGUAUGCAGUCUGAGUUGAUUAUCGUAAUCAGUUAAAACUUUCAACAACGGAUCUCUUGGUUCCGGCAUCGAUGAAGAACGCAGCGAAAUGCGAUAAGUAAUGUGAAUUGCAGAAUUCAGUGAAUCAUCGAGUCUUUGAACGCACAUUGCGCCCCCUGGUAUUCCGGGGGGCAUGCCUGUCCGAGCGUCAUUGCUGCCCUCAAGCACGGCUUGUGUGUUGGGCCCCCGUCCCCCUCUCCCGGGGGACGGGCCCGAAAGGCAGCGGCGGCACCGCGUCCGGUCCUCGAGCGUAUGGGGCUUUGUCACCUGCUCUGUAGGCCCGGCCGGCGCCAGCCGACACCCAACUUUAUUUUUCUAAGGUUGACCUCGGAUCAGGUAGGGAUACCCGCUGAACUUAAGCAUAUCAUAAGCCCGGAAGAAUCAUUACCGAGUGAGGGCCCUCUGGGUCCAACCUCCCACCCGUGUCUAUCGUACCUUGUUGCUUCGGCGGGCCCGCCAUUUCAACGGCCGCGGGGAAGGCCUUGCCCCGGGCGCGCCCGCGAAGACCCAACAUGAACGCUGUUCUGAAAGUAUGCAGUCUGAGUUGAUUAUCGUAAUCAGUUUAAAACUUUUCACAACGGAUCUCUUGGUUUCGGCAUCGAUAAAGAACGCAGCGAAUGCGAUAAGUAAUGUGAAUUGCAGAAUUCAGUGAAUCAUCAGUCUUUGAACGCCAAUUGCGCCCCUGGUAUUACGGGGGCAUGCUGUCGAGCUCUUGCUGCUUAGCAGCUGGUGAUGUUGGGCCCUCCCCUCCGAGGAGGCAAAGGAGCCGCACCGUCGUCUCGAGAUAGGCUGUUCUCGUCUGAGCGACGGCCCCGACCAAAUAUUUCAGGUAUCAGAUGAGAACCGUACUAGCUUAGGGAGACU
RNAcentral lists this ribosomal RNA (1111 nucleotides) under Aspergillus sp. MBL1612. RNAcentral's name for it is "eukaryotic LSU rRNA". The stretch from base 245 to 398 matches the Rfam family "5.8S ribosomal RNA". The record is from RNAcentral. Lineage: Eukaryota; Fungi; Ascomycota; Eurotiomycetes; Eurotiales; Aspergillaceae.